This 1507-nucleotide long non-coding RNA is filed under the name Pan troglodytes (chimpanzee). Its description in RNAcentral is "long non-coding RNA NONPTRT007694". The record is from RNAcentral. Lineage: Eukaryota; Metazoa; Chordata; Mammalia; Primates; Hominidae.
CUUGUCCAUGCCAGGUUAUAACAUACCACUAAAGAGAAAGAGAAGAUUUUCUUGUUGAAAAGUACAAGCAGCCCUGAACAAUGACUACAUUUUCCAUUCUCCCUAGAUGUGCCUGGGUGAUUAUGCUGGCUAAUGGAAUAUAACUGGAAACGGCAUGUGUGAUUUCUGGAAAACAUCUCUAAAGGACAGGGUCUUGCUGUAUCACCCAAGGUGGAGUGCAUUGGCAUAAUCAUGGCUCACUGCAGACUUGAACUCCUGAGCGCAAGCAAUCCUCUCAUCUCAGCCUCCCAAAGUGCUGGAAUUACAGAUGUGCACCACUGCGCCAGCUUCUUUCUGGAUUAAGUUUUGGCAGAUAAGAGUGUUGGCCUCACACAGGCCGCAUCUGUCCUGGGGCUCAUUUGUCCUUCUUCAACCUCCUCCACAGUUAGAGGCUCCUGAACUACAAUGGCAAUGAUCGAAGAAACUGUUGUUGAAAAGUCCACGCCAAAUUCUCGGUAUGUCACUGAAGACAAGGACAUUUUGGGUAGAACCUGGCUGCUAAUCCACUCUUGUCAGGAGGGAAGAUUUUUUCUCUUUCUGUAGUGAGCAACAAGGCCACUCGAUGAAGAAACUGAGGUUCAUGGAAGUUAAAUAACUUGCCCACAGGGCACAACUAGUAGGCAGCUAAGCUAGGACUUCAACUGAGGUCUGUAAGACUUAAAGCACAUGCUAUUCCUGCUCCUCAAUAGCUUUCCUGCUAAGCACCAAGAGACGCUAGGCUGCCAGGAACAUCACAGCAGAGACCACCGUCAAUCAAUGCAUCUCCACCGUCUUUUAGACUUUCUUUUGAAGAAAGAUUUAGCUGCUAAAAGAAAAGAUGAAUAUACAAAAAGGAUAAUACUACCAUAUUUCAUCAUAUUGUCUCGUUUUAAUACAAGAAGACUCAUCCAGCUUAAACAUUUGAUGUUUAAGAAGCUAACCAGCAAGCUGCCCUCUGGGAAUGCAUACCAUCAGGUAUGGAUCAGUGGCCCUGAGAUCAUGUUCAUAACUCAGCAGCUUUGUACAAGCUGUCAAGACUCAGAACAUGGUACCCCAAAGUAUGGCACCUUGGUGUGCUGAGUACUGUGGACUGAAGGACAUCGGAAAUGUCUCAGAAGCUAUGUCUCUUUGACCUUCUCCCAACCUCCUGUCUCCUACCUGUCUUUCUCCCAUGAAGUGAGUCAUGGCAAUCAUAAUUCCUCUUUCCCAAGGUGUGUCACAGAAACUAGAACCCCUCUCCUCCAAGGGAAGCCGUGAAACCUAGAAAGGUCACUCUCUGCCUUCCCCCUUCUCCCUUGAAGACCCUCAUUCCAGAGGGGCCCUGCCCCAUAUUCAGGAGGGUUACACAAAGAGGUUAAGAAGAAUUUGAACAUUCAGGCCUUGCUGGGUUCCCUGCUCAGUCUAUCAGCAUUAGAUCACAUCCUUUAGUCCAUCACAUUUCUACACCGCUGUCCAUUCUUCAUCAAACCGAAGAAUAAAAAAAGUUUUC